Molecule: ribosomal RNA, 529 nt
Filed under: Xylaria sp. HS-EF36
Lineage: Eukaryota; Fungi; Ascomycota; Sordariomycetes; Xylariales; Xylariaceae
Description: eukaryotic LSU rRNA
Rfam family: 5.8S ribosomal RNA (bases 156-309)
Source: RNAcentral
CCCAUGUGAACAUACCAUACGUUGCCUCGGCAGGUCGCGCCUACCCCGUAGCGUCCUACCCUAUAGGACCUACCCGGUAGACGCGGGUAAGCCUGCCGGCGGCCCAAGAAACUCUGUUUAGUAUUGAAUUCUGAACCUAUAACUAAAUAAGUUAAAACUUUCAACAACGGAUCUCUUGGUUCUGGCAUCGAUGAAGAACGCAGCGAAAUGCGAUAAGUAAUGUGAAUUGCAGAAUUCAGUGAAUCAUCGAAUCUUUGAACGCACAUUGCGCCCAUUAGUAUUCUAGUGGGCAUGCCUGUUCGAGCGUCAUUUCAACCCUUAAGCCCUCGUUGCUUAGUGUUGGGAGCCUACGGUACCCGUAGCUCCUCAAAGUUAGUGGCGGAGUCGGUUCACACUCUAGACGUAGUAAUUUUAUCUCGCCUAUCAGUUGGACCGGUCCCCUGCCGUAAAACACCCCAAUUUCUAAAGGUUGACCUCGGAUCAGGUAGGAAUACCCGCUGAACUUAAGCAUAUCAAUAAGCCGGAGGAA